This 241-nucleotide long non-coding RNA is filed under the name Lathyrus oleraceus (garden pea). RNAcentral's name for it is "Pisum sativum (pea) long non-coding RNA (PSAT_LNC001152)". Lineage: Eukaryota; Viridiplantae; Streptophyta; Magnoliopsida; Fabales; Fabaceae. The record is from RNAcentral.
GCCGCUUCUCGUUCCGAUUAUGGACCGAGUAAUAAACAUCCCCAACCAGGGUAGGAAUAGGAUUCCUCUGAGCAAACAACCGGAUGGCAUUAAUAUCCACAAAGUUCUUCUGAUUAGGGAACAAGAUGAUUCCAUAAAUGCUGACAGCAAGCAAAGCACAAACGGCCCUCCAAUUACCCAAAACAGCAUGCUCCUUGGCUUUAGCCUCCAAGAAACUCAGAUGAAAACCGGGCAACUUUCC